This 10345-nucleotide long non-coding RNA is filed under the name Brassica napus (rape). RNAcentral describes it as "long non-coding RNA (BNAP_LNC002551)". Lineage: Eukaryota; Viridiplantae; Streptophyta; Magnoliopsida; Brassicales; Brassicaceae. The record is from RNAcentral.
GAGAUCCUAAGCCAAGCUUGGAACUCUGAAGAGUCUCCCUCAUUAAAAACCUUACAAGGAAAACCCAUUGGGACAAAACCUUGCAAGGGAAAAAGAGUAGAGCUCUCCAAAGCCUAGGGAUUGGCCAGUGAGCUCUUGUGCCUUAGAACCAGUGUGGUUGGACACAAGAAGCUCUGGAUCACGGCCUAAUAGGUGCAGCAACACUUCACAGCUUUGCGCACACUUCACACUUCAGCUUCACCUCUUCAUGGAACCGGUUUGAAGUCUCCCCCUCUCAACUGACUUCACAGCCAUCUUAGAGAAGCUAGGACACGACCAGAUCAUCUUCAAAACACCAGUAAGGCUGAUCAACACUUCAAACUAUGCUUGCCCUCUUCAUAGAACUGGUUUGGAUCUCCCCCUCUCAACAGACUUCACAGCCACCUUAGAGAAGCUAGGAAAUGACCAGGAACAUCUUUAGUGAGACUCAAGCAAUGGUACCUGAUACAUUAUCCCAAAGGUGCAUCAGUACUUAUCAAGGAACAUCACACAAUCCAUUCAAACAUUUUAAGUAUCAUUUCUAGACUUUGAUUUGAAAUGAUGAAUGUAUUGAAUUGAAUUGAGCUUAGAACACUUCCCUUUUGUUUUGGUGAGUUCCCACUCGGCCAUUGCACCAUCUCCAUGGCAUCAUCAACUUCUUGGAAAGGCAGAAUGGAUUCAUCAGCUUCUCAUCAAUCACUUCACCAUAGAAGCCGCUUUGAUGAGUUCACCUUCACCCUUAGACUGCCUAGAAUAGCUCCGGCUGAUGAUCCUUUGUAGGAGCCUUUGCAAAGACUUGUUACUGACCAUGGAUCAUAUGCAUUAAGACUCCCCCUCAAGCUUAGAACCAAGACUAGAAGGAGCUAAGCUUGUGAUGAUCAUAUGCAUCCCCAUGGUCUUAUAACUAUCAGUCUUCCAUGAUAGCUUUCUUCUUGUGAGUUUACUCUCUUCCUUAACCAGGAACUAGGGUGUUUGAAUCACCAUAGAGAGCCUCACAAGACACACUUCUCAUUGCAUAAUGACCCAUGCUACACUUCCUGUAGACUUUGGACUGGAUAUUUCCAAUGGUAUUAUGCAAUGGCCAUCUCUCAUUGCAUAAUCAAUCACACUACACUUCCUGUAGAUUAUGGACUAACAUGUCCUAGUGAUGAUAUGCAAUGGCACUAGACCUUUUGUUGAGAUGAGGAAGUCAUUAUGAGAAGGAGAGGAAGAGCUAAGCAAGUGAUGGGAAAGAAGAUGAGGAAGUCAUUAUGAGAAGGAGAGGAAGAGCUAAGCAAGUGAUGGAAAGAGUACGGACAGUACGGCCUAUGUACGGACAGGGGCUUGGCCGUACAUCUGAGGAAACAUGAAGGAAGAAGGAGAUGGGUGAGUAAAGCCUCUAGAGUACACGGAAGGUCUCAAGACUGAUCAGACCGUUUAGGGAUAAGGGCGGGACGAGCCUUAUCCAUCCAGGCCGUGGACAGGCUGUAAAGGCCAAGCGUGUGAGCCUUACCAUCCGUGAAUUCAAAAGAGACGCUCCCCCCUUUGGCUUGACUUCACAUUCUUAUGACUAGUGCUGCUUUCUCUUGACUUGUAAACCCUAAUGCCUCUUCUAUAAAAAUUGUAACCUCAUCUCAUAAUAAGAUUAGACAGUUCUAAACAAUCUCUCUCUUUACUCAUUUCAUUAUGAUUCUCCAUUAGUCUCUAAUCUGUCUCUUAAUCUCUUAUUCUCCUUCUAUAAUCCUUUCUAAACUCAGAUAAUCAUUUAUAUCCUUAAAUAUCAUAUGGUAUCAGAGCCAGGUUGAUUGAAAUCUGAGUUCGUGAGUGAUUCUCUUAAGGAUUCAAGUUUGAAACUUUAAGAGAACAAGUGAGUGUGUUUGAGAGUUUCUUGAGAGUUCAAAAGCUCAAGGUACUUUGCGUGUGUCUUGGUGAUCCGUGGGAGGUUCAUUUGAAGACUCAAGGGUAAAUCUGUGUUCUAGAGGGCAGUGUGGGUUCUCAGUACAAGAUCUAACCGGUUGUUCAAGCUGUAGACGUCAAGCUGUUCAAGAUGGAAAGUGGUAUGAAGAUGAAGGUCGCGGUGACAUUCAAAGGAAGCAACUACCUAGUCUGGUAUAGGAUGGUGAAGACUUCUGUGGGAAGCAAGGGUUUGUGGAAGCAUAUCACAUCUGGUGAAGUUCCAAAGGCAAUUACUCAGGAGGGUGAUGCAGAGAGCUCCGAGGAGAGUGUUGUGGAGAAGUGGCAACAAGAAGACAUGAUGGUAAUGUCAGUCCUUCAUGCCUCUUUGGAGCCGGCUAUCCUAGAUGCUUAUAGCUACUGUGAGACAGCCAAGGAGCUGUGGGAUACUCUGAAGAAAGUGUAUGGAAACGUUUCUAACCUGAACCGAGUGUUUGAAGUCAAAAAGGCAAUCAACGAGUUAACCCAAGAUGACAUGGAGUUUACUAAGCACUUGGGGAGGUUCAGGACACUGUGGUCUGAGUUGGAGAUGUUGAGACCAAGCACGGUUGAUCCAGAGCUUCUAAAUGAGAGGCGUGAGCAGGACAAGGUCUUUGGGUUGCUGCUCACAUUGAACGCAAGCUACAAUGGUCUCAUUCAGCACAUGCUAAGGUCCGAGAAGUUACCUGACCUUGAGGAGGUGUGUGCUCAGAUACAGAGGGAGCAGGGCUCUAUGGGUUUGUUUGGAGGCAAGGGAGACUUAUCUCUUGCCAAUGCUGUGCAAUCUGACCGUGAAGAGCCUCCACAAGCCAACAAAGCUGGUUACAACAAGUAUGAGGAUAAGAAGUUCAAUGGGAACUGUGAUCAUUGCAAGAGGUAUGGGCACAAGAAGAUUCAAUACUGGAUACUCGAUCCCCACUUGAAGCCGGCUAAGUUCAUAAAGGUGAAAGAGGCAAAAGCUCACAUGACUGAAGGAUCAAGCGGAGCAGGGCCAUCCAACCGAGGAACUGAAGUGGAGAACCGUGAAGGAAAUGGAAAAGCUUUGGUGACCUAUACUGGAGCUAUCAACCCCCGAGGCAAUGAUCAAGACUUCAUCAGGAGGUCCGAGAUGGAUGCACUCAUCAAAAUGCUCAAGGAUAAUGGUAACAUUCAUGGGUAUUCAUUUGGUGCUUCUAUGAUUGCUAGAACUAUAGAAAUGACUCACAGUGAGGCUGAGGUUGCUAGGAUUGAUAGUAAGGCUGGAAUUGAGCAUUGCAUUGAUAGAAAUGCUAGGAUGAAUGCAUAUAGAUCAAAAUGUAUCUGCCAUCAUGCUAGCAAUGCAUCCAAACCAUUGAUUAUAGAUUCAGGUGCAUCUCAUCAUAUGAUUAGUGACACCAACCUGCUGAUUAAAGAUAUAGAACCUACUAAUGGAUGUGUGAUGAUUGCAAAUGGAGAUAAGAUACCUAUUAAGGGAAUAGGAAACUUAAAGCUAUUUGAUAAGAACACUAGAGCAUUUUAUAUUCCUGAAUUCACAUCAAAUCUACUUUCAGUUAAGAAAUGCACUACUGAUUUGAAUUGCAAUGUUAUAUUCAGUCCUAAUGAUGUGAAGUUUCAGGAUAUUGAGAGCAGCCAAUUGAUUGGAAAAGGAGUGACAAAGGGAGAGUUAUACAUGCUUGAGAAGCUUGAUCCUGUUUCCAAUCAUAACUGCUCAUUUACUUCUGCUUCUAGUUUGAAUAAAAAUGCAUUGUGGCAUGCUAGACUAGGUCAUCCCCAUGAGAGGGCUUUAAACUUGAUGUUACCAGGUGUGGUUUUUGAAAAUGAUAAGUGUGAAGCUUGCAUUUUAGGCAAGCAUUGUAAGAAUGUGUUUCCAAGAACAUCUACUGUUUAUGAAAAUUGCUUUGAUUUGAUUCAUACUGAUGUGUGGACUGCACCUAGUUUCUCUAGAGACAAUCAUAAGUAUUUUGUCACAUUCAUUGAUGAAAAAUCUAAAUACACCUGGUUAACACUAAUUCCAUCAAAAGAUAGGGUGAUAGAUGCAUUUAAGAACUUUCAAGCUUAUGUGACUAACCAUUAUCAUGCUAAGAUUAAAAUUUUGAGAUCAGAUAAUGGAGGAGAGUACACAAGCUAUGCGUUCAAAAGUCAUCUAGAUCAUCAUGGAAUACUUCAUCAAACAAGCUGUCCCUACACACCACAACAGAAUGGUGUAGCUGAGAGGAAGAACAGGCACUUGAUGGAGGUGGCUCGGUCAUUAAUGUUCCAAGCCAAUGUACCUAAGAGAUUCUGGAGUGAUACUUUAUCCACUUCUUGCUAUCUAAUCAACUGAAUGCCUACAAGGGUGUUGAAGGAUCAAGCACCAUUUGAAGUACUAAACAAGCGCAAGCCAUCCUUGGCAUACAUGAGAGUGUUUGGAUGCUUAUGCUAUGUGUUGGUACCAGGAGAGUUGAGGAACAAGCUAGAAGCAAGAAGCAGAAAGGCAAUGUUCAUUGGCUACUCAACAACUCAAAAAGGAUAUAAGUGUUAUGAUCCAGAAGCUAGAAGGGUACUUGUAUCUAGAGAUGUGAAGUUUAUUGAAGAAAGAGGAUACUAUGAAGAAAAGAAUCAAGAAGACUUGAGGGAUCUUACAUCAGAUAAGGCUGGAGUCUUAAGGAUUAUUUUGGAAGGUCUCGGUAUCAAGAUGAACCAGAAUCAGUCCACAAGAAGUGGACAACCAGAAGAGAGCUCAACUGAACCAAGUAGAGCUGCUCAAACACCUCACCUUGAUCAUGAGGGGGGAAGUGAACCUGAAACUCAAGAAAAUGGCCAAGAAGGAGUCGGCUUGAGUGAAGAAGGAGAAGAGUUCAACUCAGGUUCUCAUCAUCAAGGUGAGCAAGACCGAGGAGAUGAAGAACAUCAAAGUGAAGCACAAGAACUGCAUACACAAGAUGAGCCAGUUCAAGUGCAAGAACAACCAGUAUUGAGGAGAAGCACAAGGCUUAGAAAGGAUCCUUCCUCUUGGGUAAACACGCGAGUGUACUACAAUGCCCAAGCUGUGGAGCAUCCUUCUCAAGUUGUGUGUUCCUUUGCUCAAUACCCUAAAGAACAUUGUGCAUUCAUGGUUAACUUGGAUGAGAACUAUAUUCCAAGAAGCUAUGAAGAAGCUAUCAUGGAUAAAGAAUGGAAGGAAUCAGUUGGAGCUGAGGCAGGAGCCAUGAUCAAGAAUGAUACAUGGUAUGAAAGUGAGUUACCAAAAGGGAAGAAGGCUGUGAGUAGUAAAUGGAUAUUCACAAUCAAGUAUAAGGCUGAUGGAAAGGUUGAGAGGAAGAAGUCAAGGCUAGUAGCAAGAGGUUUCACUCAAACUUAUGGAGAAGAUUACAUAGAAACCUUUGCACCAGUAGCUAAACUACAUACAAUACGGAUUGUAUUAAGCUUGGCUGUGAAUCUUGGAUGGGGGUUAUGGCAAAUGGAUGUGAAGAAUGCAUUCCUACAAGGUGAACUUGAGGAUGAAGUAUAUAUGCAUCCACCUCCAGGCCUGGAACACUUAGUGAAGAGAGGGAAUGUGUUGAGAUUGAAGAAAGCUAUCUAUGGGCUGAAGCAAUCACCAAGAGCUUGGUACAACAAGCUGAGCACUACUCUGAAUGGCCGAGGCUUCAAGAAGUCUGAACUAGACCACACUCUCUUCACACUCACGACUCCCUCAGGUAUGAUUGCACUUCUUGUGUAUGUUGAUGAUAUCAUUAUCACAGGAAGUGAUAAGGAAGGUAUCAUAGCAACCAAGGAGUUCCUUAAAUCCAUGUUUGAGAUUAAAGAUUUGGGAGAAAUGAAAUACUUUCUUGGAAUUGAGAUAUGUAGAUCCAAGGAAGGUUUAUUCAUGUCCCAAAGGAAGUAUACACUUGAUCUUUUGAAAGGUGCAGGUGCUUAUGGAGGCAAGACAGCAAGGAUGCCUAUGGAGGAUGGUUACAAAGUCCCACGAGAGGGGGAGAUUGAAGACAGCAAACCUUAUCAGGAUCCUAAACUCUAUAGAAAACUAGUUGGCAAAUUGAUUUAUCUUACCAUAACUAGACCUUACAUUUGUUUUGCUGUGAAUCAGGUGAGUCAACACAUGCAAGUUCCUAAGGAGCAUCAUUGGCGCAUGGUGGAGAGGAUCUUGAUGUAUCUCAACGGCUCACCUGAUCAAGGAGUAUGGAUGGGUUGCAAUGGAAGCACUGAAGUGGUUGGAUACUGUGAUGCAGAUUGGGCUGGUGAUAGAGCAGACAGGAGAUCAACCACAGGCUAUUGCACAUUCAUUGGAGGCAACUUGGUGACAUGGAAGAGUAAGAAGCAGAAGGUGGUCUCUUGCUCAAGUGCAGAAGCUGAGUAUAGAGCUAUGCUGAAGCUUACCAACGAGUUGGUGUGGAUCAAAGGCAUCUUGAAGCAUUUGGAGAUUGAUCAAGCCACGCCAAUGACAAUGCAUUGUGAUAACCAAGCAGCCAUUCACAUUGCAUCCAACUAGGUGUUUCAUGAGAGAACCAAGCACAUUGAAGUUGAUUGCCACAAGGUGAGGCAAAUGAUCAUUCUAGGAGUCAUCUUGCCAUGUUACACGAGGAGUGAAGAUCAGUUGGCUGAUGUGUUCACCAAGGCUGCAAGACAGAAGACAAUGGAGUCCAUUCAUAUCAGGUUGGGCCUCAUUGAUCUUGGGAAGAGAAGGAGCUGAUCCUCUUGGCUGUGAGGUCUUUACUCUUUUUCCCUCAUCAAGGUUUUGUCCCAAUGGGUUUUCCUUGGUGAGGUUUUUAAUGAGGAAGAUCUCAUAGCCAUCCAAGCUUAGGCUUUCACAAAGCUAAGCUUGAGGGGGAGUGUUGAGAUGAGGAAGUCAUUAUGAGAAGGAGAGGAAGAGCUAAGCAAGUGAUGGAAAGAGUACGGACAGUACGGCCUAUGUACGGACAGGGGCUUGGCCGUACAUCUGAGGAAACAUGAAGGAAGAAGGAGAUGGGUGAGUAAAGCCUCUAGAGUACACGGAAGGUCUCAAGACUGAUCAGACCGUUUAGGGAUAAGGGCGGGACGAGCCUUAUCCAUCCAGGCCGUGGACAGGCUGUAAAGGCCAAGCGUGUGAGCCUUACCAUCCGUGAAUUCAAAAGAGACGCUCCCCCCUUUGGCUUGACUUCACAUGCUUAUGACUAGUGCUGCUUUCUCUUAACUUGUAAACCCUAAUGCCUCUUCUAUAAAUAUUGUAACCUCAUCUCAUAAUAAGAUUAGACAGUUCUAAACAAUCUCUCUCUUUACUCAUUUCAUUAUGAUUCUCCAUUAGUCUCUAAUCUGUCUCUUAAUCUCUUAUUCUCCUUCUAUAAUCCUUUCUAAACUCAGAUAAUCAUUUAUAUCCUUAAAUAUCAUACCUUUGUCUCUACAUUCUUGGCUGUUGGCGAGUUACAUGUAUCACUCCUUGUGUACCUAACACCACCACAACUCAAUGCAAGAUCAGAUCAUCCCAUUGGGAUCAAACUAAGAUCUUCCAUCCUGUUUGAUCACCAAUGCCACAUCAGUAUAUAAUACUUGAAACAAGCCAGACAAUCAAGGCAAGAACAAGUAAAUUUCAAUCUCUAAAAUGACAAUGCAAGCUCUAAACAAUACAUUGACAUUCUAGGUUCAUUUUUUCAUUUUUCAGUUUUUUUUUUUUUUUUAAGUUCUCUAAAUGCAAUGCAAGCUUAUAUCAGUACAUUUGCAAUUUAGGUUCAUUUUUAAAUGCAUCACUACAUGAAUGCACAAUCUUAAAGCAUUAGCUAUAUGAAUGCAACAGGUUCAAUCCAUGAGACAUAUUAAAGCUAUGCUCAACAGUUUCAAUCAAAACCAAUGAUGCAAGCAACUUAGACAAUUUCUAAUUGAUGCUAGACUUUCAUUGAUGGAUUAAACAUAGGCAUUAGCAUCAGUACACACUCGGAUUGAACUUAGACAAUAUGAGACAUGCUUAUGUAUGCAAAGCAGCUUUUCAAACAUGAUGCAAGUAGUAGAGACAUUCUACUCAAUUCUACAACCCAUUCAUGAUGAUUCAAGCUAUGGCAACACACAAGACAGUGCAAUAACCCAAAACAUGAGAUUCUGGGACUCUAGACACCACUCACAGCACAAUAAAUAAAGACACAAGCUCUUAUUAAGGGUUAGGAGGUUUGCUUACAAACAAAAGAUCCGAGCUAAUCUCUUGAACCUCCAUGGGCACGGUUCACUUGAACUUGGCAGGUUUGAGGCUUGGAUUCAGUAUCCAACACCUCUCCUUGGUGUGCCCAUCCCUCUUGCAAUGCUCACACUUCAGGCCUCUCCUAUCCCCCUUCUUGUAAGGCGCCUUGUUGGGCUGGGAGCUUCUUUCAGCUUGAGAAGCAAAGGAGAGUGUUUCCUUUGUUCCAAACAACCCGAUUGAUCCCUCCUCCUUUUGGACUUGGGAACACACUUCUUCAAGUGUUGGGAGCUUCUCAGACCUCAAGAUAUGUUGAAUCAAGGCGCUGUAGGCAGGGCUGAGGGUUAGUAGUAGGCCAAACACCUUGUCUUGCUCCCUUCUUUCAAUCAACACCUCCGGAUCAACAGAUUGGGGUCUAAGCAUCUCUAGCUCAGACCAAAGGGCUCUGAACUUGCCUAGAUGCGCAGUGAACUCCUCAUCUUCUUGGGAUAGGAUGUUGAUGGACUUCUUGAUCUCAAAUACUCGGCUGGUGUUGGAGAUGUUCCCAUAUAUCUUGUUAAGUGUACUCCAAAGGUCUUUAGCACUCUCACAGUAUGAGUAUGCUUCAAGGAUGGAUGGAGACAGUGAGCUAUGGAGAAUGGAUAAGACCUUGAGGUCUUCUUGUUCCCACUUCUCCUCAGAUACAGAUUUGGAACCGGAUUCACCAUCUGCUGAGCUUUCAUUUGAACCGGCAGUCUUGGAGAGCUUUGGAGCAUCCGUGAGGCAAUGGCUCCAUAAGCCUCUCCCUCCUAGAGCUGUUUUCACCAUACGUGACCAGAGAAGGUAGUUGGGACCAUUGAGAGUAACAACAAUGACAAUGAUUCUUUUGGACUCCAUGUUGAAGCCGGAUGAACAAGACUGUCAAAGAACUCUUCAAGGUAGUAUCUUGGGACAAGGUGAGCUGAAUCUUCAAGGGCGUGAGCUUGGGAUCUUGUGGAUGUUGCGGAAGCUUCUACCAGGAGUCUGAGCAACCUGGCUCUGAUACCAUGUGAGAUUUUCAGAGUACAAGUGCUUGAGUGAUGUAAGAACAGAUGAGAGAUUUGUGUAUGAUGAAGUAUGAAGAAUAGAAAUGAGUUUAAGAGAAUCAGAGAGAGUAUGGGAGAGACUAAGAGAUUAGGAACGUGUAUGGGAGAUUAGAGAGACUUAGUAACCAGAGAAUAAGAUCCAAGAACAAGUUUAUGAAGAAGAGAGACUCUCUCAGCUUAAGGGUUACAAAAUGAUCCUAAGAGGCUUAUUUAUGCCUUUACACAACUCAGAUCAUAAACCUAGAUCCUAAGGCUGUAAAUUAAAGAUAAAUGGAUGGUUAGGAUGAGAGGAAGCUGGUCUUUGAUGUUCUGGUGCUAGCUGGUCGUGGUUGGACUGAAUGGAGGGCUCAGAUUGCUUCAUUUGAAUUGGAUGGAUCAGAUGAGUCAAGGCUGUAAAGGUAAAGCACCUUUACCUUUCCAGCUCAUUCCAACAGCUCACCUUAUCCAUUUGAUUCUUCCUUUGCCUCCAAGACUCCCCAACUGACAUAAGGAAAGGAUUGGAUCAAAGUGAACCGCCCUCACAUUGCACAUCUUGAUUUGGGCUUAACCGGAUGACUUGGGCGAGAGGAGUGAGCUGUACGGUCAUUGGUACGGACCUCCUGUCCGUACCACUUGCCCUAUCUUUGUACAUUGCCCUAUCUUCCCUCUUGAUUACCCAGACAUCUUCAUGGCUUGCCCUAGGCCGUACAUGGCCGUACUGAACGCCCUAGCUUUGCACCACACUUCCAUCUUCUCUCUAACUCCUUCACAGCCUUCACAUGAUCAGUCUAAGUCUUUCCUAGACUUAACUUCACAAGAUAACUACUUCAGAACACCUCUUAGAAUCUCUUAAUCUCUUUAAUCUUUUCAUAUGAUUAUCCCUGAUUGGUUGAAUCAUGCUCUAAUACACAAAAGUGUAUAUUCUUGACAUCUUCUAGAGCUUUCCCUAUUGUUGUACAAGCUCUAUCUUCUCUUCAGUUCAACACUCCCCCUCAAGCUUGACUUUAGGAGAUCCUAAGCCAAGCUUGGAACUCUGAAGAGUCUCCCUCAUUAAAAACCUUACAAGGAAAACCCAUUGGGACAAAACCUUGCAAGGGAAAAAGAGUAGAGCUCUCCAAAGCCUAGGGAUUGGCCAGUGAGCUCUUGUGCCUUAGAACCAGUGUGGUUGGACACAAGAAGCUCUGGAUCACGGCCAAAUAGGUGCAGCAAUACUUCACAGCUUUGCGCACACUUCACACCUCAGCUUCACCUCUUCAUGGAACCGGUUUGGGNNNNN